Molecule: non-coding RNA, 332 nt
Organism: Pelobates cultripes (western spadefoot toad)
Lineage: Eukaryota; Metazoa; Chordata; Amphibia; Anura; Pelobatidae
Source: the annotation of a GenBank genome assembly
CCAGACUGCAGCUAGAGCCCAUCAUCAUCCUUAUCUGGUUGUAAGUAGGCAAUCUAGUAUAUUAUUCGUGGCACUAAUCUCUAAUUUACCUCACAUUAAAGAAACACUAUAGUCCCCAGAACCACUGCAAUCAUAUAGGUGGGGCAUUGUUAUGUCACAUGGGGGGGGGUGUCAAACUUUACUUUUGCCUAGGGCGGCAAAAAUGGCUGGAGGGGGCUGUGUGAGCUGUGGCCGCACAGUGCCCCAUGGUAGUUAGGGUGCCGUGCGGCCAGUACAGCUCACACAAGCAAACAGCUGAUAAACUGGCCGCACGGAGGAAAAGUGGGGCGAAG